CGGGGAAGCUUCUGCUGCGGAUGCCCAGCGGGGCGGCUCCCAGGGAAUCGCCGCCUGUCCCCCUCCUGCCCCAUUGUUAUGGGGUAAGAGGACUGUGCGGCCUUGUCAGCGUGUUCGCGCCCCAGCCCUCGGGGAAUUCUUGCUUUGGGCAGAGUAACCAUAUGUUUUUGUAUCUGGUAGGACUCGCGGCUCCCGGGUGCUUGCGCCUUCAAGGGGUUUGGUGCUCCAUUGGAAACAGGUUUCAGGCGAUCUCUUGUACCACAGUUCACACGGAUUCCCUCUUCCUUUCCUGAUUUCUCAGAGCAGGGUGGCACAAGUUCUGCUCCCAGAAUAGGAGGUGGAAACCAACAGCAGGAGGGGUUCCCAGGCACCCCUAGAGCUGUGAAGCCAGAGCUCCCUCCACCUCUCCCACCCCCUCGGGUCACCGGAGAUUGUAUUUGAGACACCCAGCAAGUUAUCACCUUUGGGGAGACGGACAGGUUUACUGUCUCAGAUUCUGCACCCAUCCCAGUGCCUCUUAGAGAAAUGAAGAGCCAUUCUCUCUAGGUGUUCCUUGGGGCCCUGAUUUCAGAGACGCAGUGAGUGGGAAAACUGCUUUGUGUGUAUUGGGCCCCAGAUAGGGGGUCCUGAGGAUUCCACAGGGGGGCACCAGUAGAGAAAGGAGAACUACCCCCGCCUGGCCCCCAGGGAGGGCCAAGGUCAUGAAGUCCACCAGCAAGCAAAGUGAAGCUGCCCAGGGUCUCAGAAGGAAUGCCUGCAGUUUUGCUACCCUUCCUUCAGGGGGCAGCCUUGCAUCACCUCUAACACCUACAUGCUUUGCGGGAAUGUCAGGAGCCUUGCCUUUGAGACCUGGACUCUGGUCUUUGCUUGGACUUUGACUGGCUUUGUGAUCUGAAGAAAGUCUCUUCACUUUCUGGGUUUGUUUCUCCUCUGUGAAGCAACUAGGUGAAUCCCUUGCAGCUUAUUUUAGGAUACCAGCGUCCCAUAAGUUCCCUGGGCUGUGGCCAUGCAACCUAGGGGCCUGGGGACGAGUCCUCUGCCUUGCACUUCUCAUAAUGCCCUUAGAAGACCAGGUUUUGGAGACAACUGUGUGCGGCUGCUGGAGUGAGGUGCCUCUUCAUCUCCGGGUCUGCCGUGGUUGGUUGUUUUAACCCCUCUAUUCUCAUAAAAUGACGAUCAUACCUGAAUCUGCCUCCCUGGGCUGCUGAAGAUUGAAGGGAGAUACUAUUCUAGAGUGUGCAGCAUUCGCCUAGCAUGGAGAGGCAGCUGCGGUGACUGUUGCUUGUCACUGAUCCUUUGAAGCCGUGUGAGCUGGAGAGCCUUCUCUGGCUUUGCUGAGCUCCCCUACUCACUACCUGGUAUGGAGAGUCCAGCUGUUCUCAAGGGCACCCCGUAGGGAGUAGGAGCAGCCCCCAGAGCUGCCGCAGCCCAGCCCGGUCAGUUACAUUUCCUUGGCUUCCAAACCGACUACACAUCAAAGUAACUGGGGAAUGGUUGCUCUUCACCCACAAAAAAAGUACUGAUUUACAGCGUUAAAUUCAUCAUAUAUUUCUGAGUUACUUAUAGAGCUGGUAGGAGCUGAACUAAGAUCAUUCUAUAGAAGGCAGUGGUCUUUGUAGCAGUCAGACAGUGUUUGAAAACCCCAAACCUGCGCAGCCUGGGUGGCUUAGCGGUUUGGCGCCUGCUUUCAGCCCAGGGCGUGAUCCUGGAGACCCGGGAUCAAGUCCCACAUCAGGCUCCCUGUGUGGAGCCUGCUUCUCCCUCUGCCAGUGUCUCUGUGCCCCCCCCCCCCACCGUCUCUCAUGAAGAAAUAAAUCUUAAAAAAAAAAAAAAAGAAAAGAAAACCCCAAACCUCAGAUUGUUGUCUGCAUGCACCCUCUUGGGCAAAAGGAAGUUGGGGAAAGCACAGAUGGUGUCUUCACAGUAGGUCUCAGGGAACUGGAUGUGGAAUCAUGGGCUGGGGUGUGGGGUAGCACGGGAGGUGCUCCUGGGUGAGGCUGUGGUGGAGCGUCCUGAUGGAGCCGGCAUCUUUGUUUUGGUGUGACCAUGGACAUCAGAGAGAUGACAGGUGGUCUGUGACAUCCAGUUCUUUAGAGGAAAAGGAUUUCUUUAUCUGUGGAUGGGACCCCCAGCUGGGCCCGCUAGGAGGCAUACCAUGCACUUGAGACCCCAGAUGACUCCUAGGAACUGGUUUUUGGGCUUCCAGUCCAAAUGAAACAUCUUCAGCAGGAAGAGUAAGACCCCACAGGGUCUUAUUAUUAUUAGCUUAUUAUUGGUGCUGGGAGCCAGAUUUUGCCUGUGUUGAUAGUUGGGCCAGAGGAACUCUCUGGGCAUUGAAGGUGUCUUUUAGGAAGUUUCUGGUGACUUCUUACUUCUUGGAGUUGUUUAGAGAGAGGGACGUGGUUUAUUGAUAGAAAGGUUCAUAUGAAAAGUAAGCCUGGCAGUGUAUCUAGGGAAACAUUGAAAAGGGAGGAAGGUCUUUUAGUGUUUGUUCACCAGACAUUAAAACAAACCAUAAAGUCUCUGUAAUUACAACAGUGUGGCCGUGGCACAUGAAUAGACAGACCAGUGGGAUAGAAAGUGCAGAAAUGAACCUAAAUACAGAUGGAAAGUUAGUGUAUGAUAAAGAUGGCAUCUUGAAUCUCAGAGCAGUGAUAGACUUCUUAAUAAAUGAUGCUGGGAAGCUGGGCAGUCAUUUCAAAAGAUAAACUUAAAUUCGUAGCUCACAUAUAGAAGAAUAUACUCAAACAGAUCAUGAAUUUACAUGUAAAAAAUGAAACCCUGUAAGUACUAGUGGGGGGGAAAGAAGCAUGGGUAAGUUCCCCUUGAGCUCAGUGUAAGGAACGGAUUUCAAACUGACUCUGAAUCCAGAGGCGAGUGAAGGAAUCAUUGGUAAGCUGGACAUGGCAAAAAACACCAUAAAGUCAAAAUAACUAAAAAAUUGAGAGAAAAUAUUCGCAGCCCCCAGUACUUGGGCUUUGCUACAAAGAUGGAAUGCUUAAAAUCCUGACACAUAGAGCACUCUUGAGAAUUGAGGGACAGAGGAUAAAAUCUCCAAAAGAAAAAUGAGAAAAGAUGUAAGCAGACAAUUUGCACACACACCCAGUGACCCAAUGACGAUGGUCCUCAAACAUGGAAAUGUGUUCAGGCACACUCAUCACAUGGGGAUAUGGAAACUCAAACAGCUGAGUGCCGGAUGGUACCCUGGAUUGGCUCCUACAACAUGUAAGGGACAUUAAUGAGCAACUGGUAAAACCUGGGUGCAGUCUGUGGCUGAGUUAACAUCUCCAUGUUCAUUUCCUGGUUUUGAUCCUUGUGGUAACUGUUACGUAAGUGUUAACAUCUGGAGAAGCUGGGUGGAGGGUCUGUGGGAGCUUUAAUGAUUACUUGGAAAGUUUUGAACAUUAAAAACGAGGUUCUGCUUCAGCGAAUCUUAGAAAUGGGGCUCAGAUUGUAUUAACACACUCCCUGGGUGUUUCUGGUAUUGAGGUGCAAAUUCCCCUGGAUCAGGUGAACUUUGUCCUUGAAAUGUUGAAGGACUCAUCAACACUCAAACAGAAUAAACAAAUGGAUCAAUAAAACGUGGCAGGUGUGAUGGCUGCGUGAUGAGGAGCGUAGACCUGGGCUGUGGGUGUGGGCAAUUUCUCUGUCAGGAAAUACAUAUGAUAUUUUUUAAAUGUUAACUAAAUAAAAUGCUCCCUUAUGAAUGAGACACUUUCUGCUUUAACUAAAUACCCAAAUUCACUUACUCAAAAAUACAUUAAAGGUUUUGUGUGCCAGGCUGAUCAGUCUUAUAGGGAUGAAAAAUGGAAGAAAAGCCAGUUCCUUGUCCCCAAGGAGUUUCUGGUUCACUGGGUGAGAUGGACGCUGGAAGUUCAUGCUAACAGGGGCCAGGGUGUGGUCAAGACUCAAGGGGGCUUGGAUUUGACCUGAGUGAACCUUCUGGGGCCUGUGGUGUACCGUUGGUCAGUUAGAAUGUGGGGAAAGGGAACAAUCCGAGAAGCAGUUGAGGGGUAGGUGGUUCCAAGCAGAGAGGACAGUUGGAGGAACGGGAAGGCUGCUGGAGAGGGAUGGGUCGAGGGGACAGCUUCCAGUCUCGGAGGACCAGAUGAAAGGGGCCACGCUGGGUGGCUUUCAACAGGAAGCCGGUGGUGAGACUGAAGAGUCAAUGGCAGGAAAAGAGGACAGAGGAUGAGCCCUGGGGCACAGAUGUCUGACCUGGGCAUCGGUCUGAGCUGGAGGAGGAGUCAGCCCGGUCCCUGCACCGCAGCCCGCCAGCGCCCAGAGCCACCUCUUGCUAUGGAACAAAAGCAAAGAGACUUGGGGAACCAAGGAGAGGUUUCCUGGAGGAAGACUGAGGACUCCUCAGGGAUUCGCCAGUACUGAUUAUUUUCCAGAUGCUGGCUGCAGGCCUCUGGGGAGCACAGAGAGGGGCCUGGCAGGAUCUGGGCGGGCAGCUUGGGUGACCGCAGAUGCAGGGGGGAUGUGCCUUGGAGCUGACUUGCCAGCUUCGUGAAUCGGCUGCCCUGGGCAGUGGGUCGCGUUCACAGGUGAGCGUGGUGGGAGAUGGGAAGGAGCUGACCCAGACCGCGGCCUCCUGGCCUGCCCGGUGCCAGCGCGCCACCUGCCCGGUCCCGCAGCUCAGGAGAGGCGGGAGAGGCGUUGCAGGGUCCCUCUCCCUGCAAGCAUGGUGGCCCCAGGAGGGCGCGGCCUCCGCUCUACUCCAGUGGUCCGCGUCUACGCCAGAGCCUCGGGCGCCGCUGGCCCUGCCGAGGGUGGUGUGGCAGGGUUGGCCAGGUGUCUUUGAUGACUUGUCUCCAGGCGAGCUGAAAGCGGCCCAGGAGCGCAAACCCCAGGGGAAGCCAGACUGGAGUCGGAGUGCCCUGCCUUGCCAGGAUCCUGAACGUGGAGCGCUCUGGCCAUGCCUGCGGCUCUGUCACUUGCUGGCUGUGUCACCUUGGAAAAGUUAUCUAACCUUCUCUGUCCCCCAGUAUCUUUCUCUGUCACCUGGUGAUUGCAACAGUCCUGACCUGAUUACAGGCCUAUGAGGUCUAAAUGGGGUAAUAUGGGCCACAGGUUCUUUUGAUCAGGCUUUCUCUCUUUUACUUAGAAGGAUGGAAAAAAAAUGGAAGAGUUCUUGACCUCAGUAUCUUUGGGUGCUUGAUAUUGCAGGGGAGGGUGUCAGGGCUUGACUGGCAUCAGGGACUGGUGAACUACCCCCUCCAAGACCGCAGAGCCUUGUGUCUGUGUCUUUGUGCAUAAGUCACUUUUCUCCCCAAGCACAGAGUUUACGUCUAAGAUGGGGGGGUUGCGGGGUGGUGGUGGGGGUCCGGACUCCAGAUUGGAUAUCUUGGGGGAUUCAAGUGUCUUUAUUCCAGACUACCAUUUCCCAGCUUCGGCACUAUUGACAUUUGGGGCCGGAUAACUCUUUGUCUUGGGGUUGUCCUGUGCAUUGUAGGAUGAUUAGCAUCUGUAGCUCUUGCCCAUGAGAUGCUAGUUAUGAUAAUCAAAAAUGUCUCCAAGUGUUGCUAAAUGUCCUCAGGGAGGGGGGACAGAUUGCCUCUGGCAGAGAGCUCCUGCUUUGUACAGUUCUCUAUGCAGCGAGCCCUCCGCGAGUGGCCAUUAUGCGCUGUACUGAAAUUUAUAGCAAAAGUUAAUUUUCUGAGCCUCGGCGUGUCUGCCAACUUCUGUGCACAGUCGGAGGGUCCAGUGAAAUCCUGGCAAAGGAUUUUUCAAAGUUGACGGGCCACAGUCUUUCCGAACCCCAGCCCCGUUUGAUAUAAACGACUGGUUCCUUAACCUGGCUGGGCAGCUGGAUCAAUUGAAACUUGGUUUUUAUUGUAUUUCUUUUUUUCACUCAGACCUACAGGGAUUUUAGAGCAGUAAAUGCAACUUAAUCACUCAGUCCUUUACUAGUAAGACCUGAGCUACAAUUAAAAUUAAAUAGUUAAUUCUGUGGAGAACAAGAUCUUGAAGUAAUCUUUUGUGGUAAAUACAUUUUGUUUGUUUGUUUGUUCGUUUGUUUUUAAACCACAGACCGCAAGUUGGUAGUUCCUCAUUCAGGGGAAAAGCCAGAGAAGGGUUUUAAGGAGAAGGACCCAGUGUGGAAGAAGAAUCUGAAGCAUUUGAAGUCCCCACUAUUUAGGAAGUGGUCUAAGAGGACCCGACACUGGGUGCCCUUGUGCUGGGGCGUCCUGGAUAUGAUGAGGGUCUUUGACUCCUGCCUUUUAAAUGAUUAAUCCUCCUCCAUAGAUGUAUAACAUUCUGCUCUCCUCUGGCUUGACUCCUUGUAUAUCUGCUCAAACAUGUCCCCAGGAAUUCCUGUGUCACUGCCCAGGAGUGAAGAAUGUUCCUCCAGACUUUGGAAGAUUUUUCUCUGCAUGCUCAUGGAGCUUGCUUUUGGGCAGUCCUUCCGUUGUGGGUUUGCCAACAUUUUGGCUCCCCCAUCUUUGGGACUGUGAUGUCUAAUGGCAGGCAGCAGAAGCAAGCUUUGGAAAUGCUGUGGGUGCAGCAACAAGCACCCCUGGGUGAUGGAUUGCCUUUAAACCAGGGGGCUGGGGUUUGCCUGGAGCUUCACCUCCGCCUGGUGGGAUCUGGGGGUCUUGUCAGUAGCUCCAGGUAUAAGAAUCAAUGUGGUGUCCAGUGCUUGGAGGUGUGUGUCAGAAGCAUUUAGUGUGAUCUUUUGAGUCCCUUUGUAUUCGUUGACCUGGACUGUCGUCUGCACAGCUGGUCCUGUGGACACGAUGAUAAGGAUUCCAACGAGCUUCUUGUGACACGACGGCUGUGCUAUGACAGAUGUGACCCACACCAAGACAUCUAGGGUUGAGUAAGGUGUGUGCACCCCAGCAAUGAUGCUGGCUGCUUUAAAGGCACUGAGCCAGCUCUCUGCAGGGGGAGUGUGGUUAUUAUUCCUGGGUUUUUCAAGAACACUCUCAGAUGCUGUACCGUAUGGACCAAGUUGAUGUUGCAAGUUAUCAUAGACUUGUGCCAUUGGAGGUUCUGUUUCCCAGAUGGGCAUGGCAGCCAUGGGGCGGGGUAUCAGGUUUGCAGUUCCUUGGAAAUGGGCAAGUCUCUUCAAGUGAGGCAGACUGCAUCAGGGGUAGUGGUACAAAUUGCCCUAACAGCACGGAAUCCUCUCAUUUGCUAUGUAGACGGUGAGCUGAUGCUAGAGUGUGUCCAGGCUCCACUGGUGGGCCCUGCAAUCUCAUCAGUCUCAUUUAGAAGAGCCAGGGAGGAUUGUGGUGGUGGUGGUGACUGGGUUGGCCCUGGAUUGGCCAUCUUUGUGGGCACCGCGUGAGGUCCCCUUUGAUACUGUGACACAGUGGUUCUCCUGCCCUUAACCUGCAGAAGUGAGGGGUUUCAGCAGAGCAUAGAUACGAACGAGAUCAGGAGCUGAGACCUCAGACAAGCCUGGGACAAGGUGUGGCGGCUUCUUCAGCAGACAUGGACCCUAGUGGAGGCUAAGCUCCUCCAGUGAAUGAUGAGGAUCUUGUAGUUGGGCUUGUUGAUGCUGAGAAGAAACAGUUUGAGCAAAACAAACAGUUUGACCACUUUAUAAUAGUGGUUAGACAGUUUUUUUAAAUCCCCCAAACCUCAGAUUGUUGUCUGCAUGUACCGUCUUGGGCAAAGGGAAGUUCUUAUUUGGGGAAGGUAGAGAUUGUGUUUUCUCGGUAGGUCUAAGGAGAACCAACCAUGGGUGGAAGGACAGGAAGUCCUGGGUGAGGCGGUGAUCUCCCCAGGGGGCUGGGCACCUUCCUCUUAGAAAUCAGGAAAAUUCUGGAAAGGACAUCUAACUUUUCAGGAGAGAAGGAGUUCUUGCAUCUGGGACCCUAGCUGGACCCACUGGGAGGCAUGCCAGGCACUUGAGGCCUCAGAGGACCGCUAGGAAUUGGUGUUGGGACUUGCAGGCCAGACUGGACGUGCUCCUUUGGCAAGAAGAGAAAGGCCCCGUGGGUGGGCUUAUUAUUGGUGCCGGGAGCCGGAUCCCACCUGUGUUGGUGGCCGAGCCAGAGGAGCCCUCUGAUCGCCAAGGGCGCUCUCCUGGAAGUUUCUGGUGGCUGCUUGCUUCUUGGAGCUGUUUUGAAAGGACACGCUAUUGAAGCUCUCUCUCUUUCUAUGUGUGCUUGUCCUAAAACCAAUCUCAAAUUGGCAUGUACCCCCGGGGGAGGGGGCAAGAGCUCUUCUAACAUCCUGUACCUGAGUGAGAGUUCAUGGCUUUCCUAUUUAAAGUACAACUGUAAAUUUUAUAGUAUCUUUCUUGUAUUUUGUGGGUUUUUUUUUUUUUAACUUUUUCUCCAGGGCUUGGAUUUUCUGCUAAUUCAUUUUCACGUCCUCAGGCAGCUUCUGCUCUUUUUCCUUCCUGAUCGGCUGUCUGUGCAUGGACGUGACUUGUUGCCUGUGGUCCUCAUUCAGUCCUGUGUGGCGUUGCCUUCGUGUUCCAGGGGAGCGCUGACCCAGCGCCCAGGGGGCACCUGCCGCCUCCAUUGCUUGGCGUCCUCUUCCAGUUCCCCCCCAUGCUGGACACCUCAUCGCACAGUGGGCCUCGGAAGGCCACAUCUUUUUUCAAACCACUCUUUCUUCCCGGCUCUAUUGCCGAGCCAUGGCCCGCUGCCAGUGGCCUUCCAAAGCCUUGUGUGAUGUUCUUCUCGAGUUUUGGGUAGCGGGUGGCCGACACCUUCCUUGUCCUUCCUGCUACGGUGCAGCGAUAGCUCCCCCUCUCCUCGUGGAGGAGACAGAGGCCGACACUUUGAAGCCGUCGUGGCGACAGUAUUUUGUCCUGGGAUCACUGUGAUCAAACUCGAUCACACGAUCGUGGAUCAUCGCGCUUCACGUUUUCUUGUGCUGGGAUUGAACUGCUUUCUGACUCGCGGUGCAUCAGUGCUGGGGGUUGGGGUGUGAGCUGUGGGCCCCGGCCCGCCGCCGCCUCCUCGGUGGAGGGCUCCUGUGCCCCUGUUAACUCUCCAGAACUUUUGAACCCUUUUGGGGUUCGAUUUUCUUCUGCCUCUGGCUCUUCAGCUCCUUACCGUUUAAUCCAGCUGUGGCUUCAGCCGCUUACUCUUUGAUGAAAUACCCUGUCUUCUGAGGAGUGUCUCCUGACUUCAGUGGUUCUCAUGACACGGGGGAGGGGGGGGCGCUGAGAACAGUGACCCUGGAAAGUGAGUCGUGAGCAGCAGCCCUCUCCGCAGGACCUACAGAGGCCGCCUGUGGAGGGGGACAGAGGCUCUGCUCUAAGCUGGGACUCUAGGGACAGCUGGCACCCCUUCAGCCUCUCCUUCCUGUGUGCCGACAGUCACCCCCUGGGGAUGCGACGCCCUGUCCCCACACCGCCCCAUAGCCGGGGUGUGCUGCUUUGGCUUUUGUGAUUUAGAGCAUGGUUUUGUCGUGGGGAAGAAGAACUCUUUUUAAGACUUUACUGCGGUUUUUAAAAUGACCAUUCAGGACACUAGCUUUUGCUUUAAGCCUCUAAGUUCUGUUAGCAAUUUCUGCUCUCGAAGAUUUUAGCCAUCCCUUUGAAGGGGGAGUUGGUGAGACUCUGGGUCCUGUUUGGAGCUGUUAGUAGUGAGAACCCAUCCCCUGCUUGUGGAAAGACAAGCUGGCCGGGCCUGGGUGUUGCACGCCGGCCUGUCCCGUUCUGCCCUGGGCUGGUGGUUUAGCAGCUCAUUUGUCUCUCCAGGUCCCAGAGGGGGCAGGUAGUGGUCAAACAAUGACAGACUUCAUAGCUGAGUGACAGUGGAAUGUGCUGCUUUGGCAAGUGGCAAGUUCUCUUCUAGUCGGGGUCCUGGUAAGCAGAAACCAGCCCCUCAUCUGAUACUGAUCAUUGAUGUUUUUCUUGUUGGUUUAACACGAUGGAGCAUGUACCCUAACCCCCUCCCCCCGCACCAAAUGGGCACUAUGGUGCUCUAAUUCAUGCAUCUUAAAAAUAUCCACUUAACAGGAUGACAGAUGCUUCCUGCAUGUGCUUCCCACCCGGUCAGCACUCCCACCCUCAUCCCUGCAACUGAACAAAACCCUUUGGUCACCAAUGUAGGCAGUCUGAACAUAAUAAAGAUGCUUGCGUUGCCUCUGAGCUUCCCUAUCCUGGUUGCUGCUGCUCCUCACACUAUGGAUGCUCCCCUGCUCCUUACCGUGCCUGGCUUUGCUGGAGAAGAUCCUCCAGGUCUGGCAUUCCCGGAAGGAGAUGGUGCUGGGAGCCUAUGAGAGGGUCUGUGUGUGGCGUCCGCUCUGUCCCAGGCAGCUGCAGCUGGGUGGGGAAGCCCCUGGGUACUUUAUUCUCUUGAGUGGGGGGCGUGGGGACCCCCGUGCACAGGAUGAGUGUUAAGUUCACUCUUCAGUUCCUGGCAUCAUUAUCAACGGUGUAUGUGAGGUCCCUCUCUUGGUGGUGUAAUCCCUUUCGAUAAGAUUUCCCAUGGCCAUUCCUCCUCCUCCCACAGACACAAUCAUUCUGGAAUGCUCGAUGGGUGUCUUUUUUUUUUUUUUUAAUGCUCUAACAAAACAUCAUUGCUUUCUUGUUAUAGGCACUUUUAAUUCACUUACAUGGUAUUAUACUAUUUCUUAAUUCUGUUUUCUUUCUCAGCACUGUGUUUUAAGAUGCAGUUUCCCCCUCUACAUUCCUAAGGCCUAUUGAGAUUACCCAAAGAGCUUUUGUUUAUGUGGGUUAAAACUAUCGAUACUUGGCACAUUACAAAUCGAAACAUUUACCAAUACUUAUUGAUUCAUUUGCAAAUAGCAGUGGUGAACAUAUUGCAAGUCAAGGUGAAUAAUAUUUUAGCAUUAUUAUGAAAAUAGUUUUGACCCUGCGGACCCUCUUUGCCCUGUAGUAAAGUGUCCAUUUGUUCCAGAAUGCAAAAGGUCAGUAGGAACGGUAUAAAGUUUGGAAAGUGAAUUUUAUGUAUAUUGCUUUAUAAAACCUGCAUCUGAAGAGAAGCUAUGAUAUAUAUUGUAUUUUAGCAGAGUUUCCUCAGGUUUAAUGGGCUUGCCUCCUUGUGGAAGGCUCUUCUAGAUAGCAGAAGUCUUCUUACCAGAAGACUUUCUGGUGUUUUUUGUUGAAUUUGUCAUGUCCUAGAAUAGGUGAUUUUAAAACCUAGUAAAAACUCAUCACUUAUGAAUGUGCCACAUGUAUAUAUGUAUAUAAAUGGGCAUUUCCUGUUUGCUUUACUUAUUUUUGUAAAAGAUUUUAUUUAUUCAUGAGAGACAUAGAGAGAGAGGCAGUGACACAGGCAGAGGGAGAAGCAGGCUCC
This is a long non-coding RNA of Canis lupus familiaris (dog), 11237 nucleotides long. RefSeq lists it as uncharacterized. The transcript has 4 exons. The record is from RefSeq and is a predicted model, not a curated record. Lineage: Eukaryota; Metazoa; Chordata; Mammalia; Carnivora; Canidae.